UGGACUGGCUCCCUUGUCUACCGGCCCCAUGGAGGAGCUGGAAGAAUCCAUGUGACCUAAAGCGAACAAGGAGGCUGUGACUACAAACUGGGAAUCGAAGAACCAUCCCUACGUUCACUGAUUC
This 124-nucleotide long non-coding RNA is filed under the name Ursus maritimus (polar bear). RNAcentral's name for it is "lncRNA (ENSUMAG00000016601.1)". The record is from RNAcentral. Lineage: Eukaryota; Metazoa; Chordata; Mammalia; Carnivora; Ursidae.